This 78-nucleotide transfer RNA is filed under the name Candidatus Methanofastidiosia archaeon. RNAcentral describes it as "tRNA-Pro". It matches the Rfam family "tRNA". From Rfam's summary of the family: Transfer RNA (tRNA) molecules are approximately 80 nucleotides in length. Their secondary structure includes four short double-helical elements and three loops (D, anti-codon, and T loops). Lineage: Archaea; Methanobacteriati; Methanobacteriota; Candidatus Methanofastidiosia. The record is from RNAcentral.
GGGACCGUAGGGUAGCUUGGCCCAUCCUUCUGGCUUUGGGAGCCAGUGACCUGCGUUCAAAUCGCGGCGGUCCCACCA